This 446-nucleotide ribosomal RNA is filed under the name uncultured bacterium. RNAcentral describes it as "partial 16S ribosomal RNA". It matches the Rfam family "Bacterial small subunit ribosomal RNA", at positions 338 to 795 of the family's 1533-position model. The record is from RNAcentral.
CCUACGGGUGGCAGCAGUCGAGAAUCAUUCACAAUGGGGGAAACCCUGAUGGUGCGACACCGCGUGGGGGAAUGAAGGUCUUCGGAUUGUAAACCCCUGUCAUGUGGGAGCAAAUUAAAAAGAUAGUACCACAAGAGGAAGAGACGGCUAACUCUGUACCAGCAGCCGCGGUAAUACGGAGGUCGCAAGCGUUGUUCGGAAUCACUGGGCGUAAAGCGUGCGUAGGCUGUUUCGUAAGUCGUGUGUGAAAGGCGGGGGCUCAACCCGCGGACGGCAAAUGAGACUGCGAGACUAGAGUACAGGAGGGGGAACCGGAAUUCUCGGUGUAGCAGUGAAAUGCGUAGAUAUCGGGAGGAACACUCGUGGCGAAGGCGGGUUCCUGGACAUUAACUGACGCUGAGGCACGAAAGCCAGGGGAGCGAAAGGGAUUAGAUACCCCUGUAGUC